GUAGUCAUAUGCUUGUCUCAAAGAUUAAGCCAUGCAUGUCUAAGUACAAACCAUCUUAAGGUGAAACCGCGAAUGGCUCAUUAAAUCAGUUAUAAUUUACUGGAUGUAAACUACUUACAUGGAUAACUGUGGUAAUUCUAGAGCUAAUACAUGCAAAAAAGUCUUGCCGCAAGGCGGACGCAUUUAUUAGACCAAGACCAAGGGUGCUCUCGGGUGCCUACUGGUUGUGACUCUGAAUAACUGUUAGCUGAUCGCAUAGCCUCGCGCUGGCGACAUAUCCUUCAAGUAACUGCCUUAUCAACUUUCGAUGGUAGGUUAUUCGCCUACCAUGGUUGCAACGGGUAACGGGGAAU
Molecule: ribosomal RNA, 353 nt
Filed under: Sancassania polyphyllae
Lineage: Eukaryota; Metazoa; Arthropoda; Arachnida; Sarcoptiformes; Acaridae
Description: SSU rRNA
Rfam family: Eukaryotic small subunit ribosomal RNA
Source: RNAcentral